UGGAGGUGUUCACUAUUUCCUUCUCUAUUAUAAAAUAGACUAGAUACUGAUUUUCAUGGAGAUCUGGAUCUAAAGCAGUUAAAGAGCUCAGUAAAGCUCCAGGCGCGUUAUUCUCCAUAACAGGUAUCGUGUAGAAUGUCUGUGGGAACUGAGGGACAUUGUCGUUAAUGUCCAGUAGCUCUAAAGUUAUAGUUUCAUUAUCAGAUAACGGCGGGUUGCCCCUGUCAGUCACGGUAAUAGUGAUGUCAUAUUCUGGAACCUUUUCACGGUCUAACGGUUCUGAAACUAAUAAUUCAUAAUAAUUAUCAGACGAUUCUUUGAGCGCAAAAGGUAAAUCAUCAGAAAUAUGAACAUCUACCUGUCCAUUUUCUCCUGAGUCUUUAUCACUCACACUAACAACUGCGAUUACUGUAUUAACAGGUACAUCCUCUUUAACUGGACUCUGAAAUGAUUUAAUUGAAAUUUCUGGGUGAUUGUCA
Long non-coding RNA from Carassius gibelio (silver crucian carp), 479 nucleotides. RefSeq lists it as uncharacterized. Lineage: Eukaryota; Metazoa; Chordata; Actinopteri; Cypriniformes; Cyprinidae. The transcript has 3 exons. The record is from RefSeq and is a predicted model, not a curated record.